GUUUUUGGUAGCCACAUGAAUUGCUCUAUAGUAAAACCAAGUUUUUGGUAGCUACAUGCAUUGCUCUAUAGUAAAACCAAGUUUUUGGUAGCUACAUGCAUUGCUCCAUAGCAAAACCUUGUUUGGCUUGACUACCUAUGAAGGGGUCUCGAGGUUCGACACCCGAGUCAAGAUAAGUUGUGUUAACUGAGCGCAUAAAAGCAGCACGGAAAACCUUCUCCCAUAUAGCCCUGCCCCCCCCCCCCCCCCACUGGUCCACAAAUGAGAUUGGACCAUAUCGCUCUGAGCAUUAUAUAAGCAUAGAAGUAGUGCUAUAUAAAAGCUAUUAUUAUUAUUAUUAUUAUUUAAAUAACUUUUAAAAAAUCUUAAUAAUAAAAAAAAUUGUUGACCUUUUCAAAAAUGUUUCUUUUGUUGACUGAACAAUGAAAGACAAAACGUAAAAGUAUUUAUGAUUUUUUUUCUAUUCGUGAAGUUUUUAGUAGUGAAGUUUUGCUCUUACUCAUAAUAAAUGUAAUUAGAUUUCCUUUCUCUUACAACACACACAAUUGACAUUUCAUUUAUUGACUGACAACAUUUCAUUUAUUGACUGACAAC
Biomphalaria pfeifferi is the source of this 594-nucleotide non-coding RNA. Lineage: Eukaryota; Metazoa; Mollusca; Gastropoda; Planorbidae. The record is from the annotation of a GenBank genome assembly.